AAAGCGUGCGCAGGCGGUUAUGUAAGACAGAUGUGAAAUCCCCGGGCUCAACCUGGGAACUGCAUUUGUGACUGCAUGGCUAGAGUACGGUAGAGGGGGAUGGAAUUCCGCGUGUAGCAGUGAAAUGCGUAGAUAUGCGGAGGAACACCGAUGGCGAAGGCAAUCCCCUGGGCCUGCACUGACGCUCAUGCACGAAAGCGUGGGGAGCAAACAGGAUUAGAUACCCUGGU
RNAcentral lists this ribosomal RNA (230 nucleotides) under uncultured bacterium. RNAcentral describes it as "partial 16S ribosomal RNA". It matches the Rfam family "Bacterial small subunit ribosomal RNA", at positions 562 to 791 of the family's 1533-position model. The record is from RNAcentral.